GUCAGAUGCUUAGCCGACUGAGCCACCCAGGAGCCCCAAGUCUUUUUCUUCUCAUACAGGCCAUGUCCUGCAAGUCUGUGUUUGGGUUCAUUUUUCUUUGCAUACUCCAAGGAAUCCUAAAUCAUGCCAAAGCCCAUUGCAACAGCACACGUCUGAGCAC
Molecule: long non-coding RNA, 160 nt
Organism: Leopardus geoffroyi (Geoffroy's cat)
Lineage: Eukaryota; Metazoa; Chordata; Mammalia; Carnivora; Felidae
Exons: 3
Source: RefSeq, a predicted model, not a curated record